Molecule: ribosomal RNA, 586 nt
Filed under: Trichoderma virens
Lineage: Eukaryota; Fungi; Ascomycota; Sordariomycetes; Hypocreales; Hypocreaceae
Description: eukaryotic LSU rRNA
Rfam family: 5.8S ribosomal RNA (bases 201-354)
Source: RNAcentral
CCGAGUUUACAACUCCCAAACCCAAUGUGAACGUUACCAAACUGUUGCCUCGGCGGGAUCUCUGCCCCGGGUGCGUCGCAGCCCCGGACCAAGGCGCCCGCCGGAGGACCAACCAAAACUCUUAUUGUAUACCCCCUCGCGGGUUUUUUACUAUCUGAGCCAUCUCGGCGCCCCUCGUGGGCGUUUCGAAAAUGAAUCAAAACUUUCAACAACGGAUCUCUUGGUUCUGGCAUCGAUGAAGAACGCAGCGAAAUGCGAUAAGUAAUGUGAAUUGCAGAAUUCAGUGAAUCAUCGAAUCUUUGAACGCACAUUGCGCCCGCCAGUAUUCUGGCGGGCAUGCCUGUCCGAGCGUCAUUUCAACCCUCGAACCCCUCCGGGGGGUCGGCGUUGGGGAUCGGCCCUUUACGGGGCCGGCCCCGAAAUACAGUGGCGGUCUCGCCGCAGCCUCUCCUGCGCAGUAGUUUGCACACUCGCAUCGGGAGCGCGGCGCGUCCACAGCCGUUAAACACCCCAAACUUCUGAAAUGUUGACCUCGGAUCAGGUAGGAAUACCCGCUGAACUUAAGCAUAUCAAAAGCCGGAGGAAA